AGUGAACGCUGGCGGUAGGCCUAACUCAUGCAAGUCGAACGGCAGCACAGUAAGAGCUUGCUCUUACGGGUGGCGAGUGGCGGACGGGUGAGGAAUACAUUGGAAUCUACUUUUUCGUGGGGGAUAACGUAGGGAAACUUACGCUAAUACCGCAUACGACCUACGGGUGAAAGCAGGGGAUCUUCGGACCUUGCGCGAUUGAAUGAGCCGAUGUCGGAUUAGCUAGUUGGCGGGGUAAAGGCCCACCAAGGCGACGAUCCGUAGCUGGUCUGAGAGGAUGAUCAGCCACACUGGAACUGAGACACGGUCCAGACUCCUACGGGAGGCAGCAGUGGGGAAUAUUGGACAAUGGGCGCAAGCCUGAUCCAGCCAUACCGCGUGGGUGAAGAAGGCCUUCGGGUUGUAAAGCCCUUUUGUUGGGAAAGAAAAGCAGCAGGUUAAUACCCCGCUGUUCUGACGGUACCCAAAGAAUAAGCACCGGCUAACUUCGUG
RNAcentral lists this ribosomal RNA (492 nucleotides) under uncultured bacterium. Its description in RNAcentral is "partial 16S ribosomal RNA". It matches the Rfam family "Bacterial small subunit ribosomal RNA", at positions 29 to 507 of the family's 1533-position model. The record is from RNAcentral.